Non-coding RNA from Oryctolagus cuniculus (rabbit), 830 nucleotides. The record is from RefSeq and is a predicted model, not a curated record. Lineage: Eukaryota; Metazoa; Chordata; Mammalia; Lagomorpha; Leporidae.
GCUCUGACCACUUUACGUGGGUCUGUUCUCAUUAUCUCAGGCUCCUCAGGAAAAUCUUUAUUGACCUGAUUUCCAUUGGUCAUUGUGGAGUUUACUUUUUUAAUCUUUGAAACUAGCAGCAUUGCCUCGCAGAAAAGCUGGGUCCACAGAGGUCCAGAAUGAAUCUCUACUCUCCCUGACUCCAGGAGACAAAAAGAAGAACAUGGAUCUCCAUACAGAAAUGACCUCCAUGAGGUCUGACACUCUCCAGCAUUGCAGCUGAGGAGAAAGCUUGAGGGAGAAUCCCAGAGCAGCAGAAAUAGCAGUGCUUUAUCUGAAGUCUACAAAACCCAACAAUGCAUUCUUGGAAGACAAGAGCCAUGCUCGGCACAGGGAAGCUGGAGGUCAAAGCUCAUGGGGUGGCCCUCCUUCCAUCAGCUGUGGUGCUGAGACAACCUCUUAGUCUCUGUGGACCUCAGGUUCCUCUUCAGUGAGAUCUGGAGCUGAGUCCACAUCCUGAGAACCCAGAACUGAAGGUGCAGCUGAAGGAAGAUGAGCAGCUCUCUGGGACGUGAGAAUGACCCAGAGAAUGACAAGGUAAUGUUAGGGUGAAACCAAGUGUGGGUGAGAUGAAGGACACAUUGUGUCGGAAACCUCAGGGGAUACUCAGAAAUGCCUACUCCACUGUCCAGCCCCUGAAGGAGCUGCCUUCCAUGAGCACUGAGGUCAGGAGAGAAACUGACUCCACAGUGAACCUGUGCACCUGGCCAGGGAGAUCCCUGGAUGGAAUCAGAGCAGGUUUAUGCUGAACACAAGCUUUCCAUGCAAACUAGAGAUCCUGGUAACUUCAG